Molecule: ribosomal RNA, 542 nt
Filed under: Penicillium freii
Lineage: Eukaryota; Fungi; Ascomycota; Eurotiomycetes; Eurotiales; Aspergillaceae
Description: eukaryotic LSU rRNA
Rfam family: 5.8S ribosomal RNA (bases 163-315)
Source: RNAcentral
UUUGGGUCCAACCUCCCACCCGUGUUUAUUUUACCUUGUUGCUUCGGCGGGCCCGCCUUUACUGGCCGCCGGGGGGCUCACGCCCCCGGGUCCGCGCCCGCCGAAGACACCCUCGAACUCUGUCUGAAGAUUGAAGUCUGAGUGAAAAUAUAAAUUAUUUAAAACUUUCAACAACGGAUCUCUUGGUUCCGGCAUCGAUGAAGAACGCAGCGAAAUGCGAUACGUAAUGUGAAUUGCAAAUUCAGUGAAUCAUCGAGUCUUUGAACGCACAUUGCGCCCCCUGGUAUUCCGGGGGGCAUGCCUGUCCGAGCGUCAUUGCUGCCCUCAAGCCCGGCUUGUGUGUUGGGCCCCGUCCUCCGAUUCCGGGGGACGGGCCCGAAAGGCAGCGGCGGCACCGCGUCCGGUCCUCGAGCGUAUGGGGCUUUGUCACCCGCUCCGUAGGCCCGGCCGGCGCUUGCCGAUCAACCCAAAUUUUUAUCCAGGUUGACCUCGGAUCAGGUAGGGAUACCCGCUGAACUUAAGCAUAUCAAUAAGCGAAGGAA